UACGUAGGUGGCAAGCGUUGUCCGGAAUUAUUGGGCGUAAAGGGCUCGUAGGCGGUCUGUUGCGUCGGGAGUGAAAACUUACAGCUUAACUGUGAGCGUGCUUCCGAUACGGGCAGACUUGAGGUAUUCAGGGGAGAACGGAAUUCCUGGUGUAGCGGUGAAAUGCGCAGAUAUCAGGAAGAACACCCGUGGCUAAGGCGGCUCUCUAGUACGGUACUGACGCUGAGACGCGAAAGCGUGGGGAGCGAACAGG
Molecule: ribosomal RNA, 253 nt
Filed under: uncultured bacterium
Lineage: Bacteria
Description: partial 16S ribosomal RNA
Rfam family: Bacterial small subunit ribosomal RNA
Source: RNAcentral